CGGAGCAGAGCGGCCCCACGGGCGCCGGAGCAGAGGCCGCGCAGCAGCGGCGUGGUGUAGGCCAGGAGGCAGGCACGGUGCGGGUGUGCAGGAGGACCAGCGGCGUGGCCGGCGAGGCGCGUGCGUUGGCAGCACCAGCAGCGGCGCGACGCGGAUCGGGAAGUGGAGGAGCAUAGCGUUGAGGUCCAUUUCCGGCGCCUCAUGGGUCUCCUCCCGAGGCUCGGUGACGUCGAGGGCGCGGCGCUGGGCAGCCAAGGCCGUGAAGGAUGCGGCGGCUGCUGCGGUGCGCGAGGAGGCAGCGGCCCUCCAGACGACGGCAGUGCCGGCUCACCCCUUCGUGUGUGGUCACGUCGCCCUCGGAACAAUAGUAGCUGCGCCGGCCUGGCGAGAUGAUCCAGCGAGCCGUGGGGAAGGGGAAGCGACGGUAGCGCGGCCACACUGACAACAAACUGCGGCGUCGGCCUAUGACCGUGGCGGGCAGAGAACUGACGUGUGCGCGGAGCGAUAGCCUGGUGGCGAGGAAGUAAUGUGAGAUGAGCUCAAAGAAGGAUGGCAGAAGCGUGAAGAACAACCAGGAGAUAAUCAAGGUUAUGGAGUGCUGCAAAAGCUUCUCGUCCUCUUUCCCCACUGACUAUAAGUUUGAGUAGCCUCCGUGCAUCACAUCCCAUCAGGAUGGUUCGUGUUAAGAAAAUGUAAUGCAUAUUUUAUUUUCUAAUUGCGAAUGUGCUUUUCUCGAACCAAUUGUGAGUGUCCUUUCACAAGAGCCAAUUGGAAUACCUCAACUCAAUUUAAAAUUUGCUUCGGUGUAUUAAUCUUUUUUCCAUGAUUA
This is a long non-coding RNA of Panicum hallii, 829 nucleotides long. RefSeq lists it as uncharacterized. The transcript has 3 exons. Lineage: Eukaryota; Viridiplantae; Streptophyta; Magnoliopsida; Poales; Poaceae. The record is from RefSeq and is a predicted model, not a curated record.